UUUUCUUUGAACAAAUUUAGAUUUUAGCUGUUGGGUUCUAAAGUAGUGGUCUAUUCUGAUCAUUCGGCUUUGAGACAUCUUCUCUCCAAAAAGGAAACCAAACCCCGUUUGAUUCGAUGGAUCCUCUUGUUUCAAGAGUUUGAUUACAAAAUCCGAGACAAGAAAGGGUCAGAGAAUGUGGUAGCUGACUAUCUUUCUAGAAUUUUGAUUGAGGAUACUUCAACUUCACUUCUAGUUUAUGAUUCCUUUCCGGAUGAAUAGUUGUUUAAGGUUUCUCAUACAGAUUUACCUUGGUUUGCUGAUAUUGUGAAUUACUUUGCAAUAGGCAAAAUUCCUUUGUCUUGGUCAAAGCAGGAAAAAAAUCGAUUCUUCUCUCAGAUUAAGAUGUACUAUUGGGAAGAUCCCUAACUUUUCAAGUAUUGUGUUGAUCAAAUCAUUCGUAGAUGUGUUCUUGAGAGUGAGUUUCAUAGUAUUCUAACCUUCUGUCACAGUUUAGCUUACGGAUGUCAUUUUAGUGCAAAUAAAACUGCAGAAAUUCUAAUCCCCAAAGCUCCAAUUUCAAACUCUUCCAAAUCUGAAUCAAUCCCAGCAAUUCCAUGACGAAGUUUACGUGGCUGUGGAAAUCGAAUAAAUCAGCAUCCAAGAUCGAGUCGAACCCAGAAAUGUCGUCAGACCCUCAAAUUUGAUUGGGGUGGCGUUGACGGAGGGCUGUGAUUUGAGGGCUACCAAGGCCAAGAUUGGACAUUGGGGAUUCGGAAUCUGAGCCAUAGACGUCGAAAUUGUGGAAGUCGUGAAAGCAGUAAGGGGCUGAGUCAAGGGUCACCACAAAGUCGUCGUCUUCAUGCAGGUAAAGGUAUGAUACGUUAGCCAUUGACAACGAUUUAUUGUUAACUGCUUUUGUUGGAGUGGGUUUGUUUUCAGGUAAGGCACAUUUUUUGCUGCGUUUUUAAGGGCGUUUCAUGUCUGAAAUAACUUUUCCCUCAAACUAAAUAGAUGUUCAAGGUGUGUGUUCUUCUUCACGAUUUGAGUUUUUUUCUUUUCUUCUCUAGAUAAGACUUUUUCGAUUAUCAGAUUUUUUUUUUUUUUCAUGGACCGAGUAUUUUUCCGUUUCUCUAUUUUUUUUAGCACUUAUAUGCAUCAGAUUUGUUUCAUACGCGAAAUCGUAUAGGUCCUUCAGAUUUGGGGAAGGGAAUGAAGCUUUAGAGAAAAUACAAUUAAAGUUGCAAACAAUUUCUUUAAUAAAACCUAUUAGUAUGUAAUUAAAAUUUUGGUUACAUUUUUUAGGAAUUCUAUUUUUUUUUUUUUUUUUUUUUUUUUUUGGUAUUUUUAGGUUUCGAUCAUCUAGAUUAGCGUUUAUUGUUCUUCAUUUACCUGAUUCUUCUUCCUUUUUUAUUUAUUUAUUUAUUUUUUAAAAAAAUUUAAGCUUAGAUUUUUGGGUGCAUUUUCUAAUUUUGGAUUUUAUUCUCCUAAUACUGAUUUGUGAAUCUGUCAUUUGUACAAGUUGCAAAAAAGGUUGGGUAAACCACAGUUUCGACAAGAUCAAUCAUCUUUGAUUGCUUUGUCAGGAAGUGUGCCUUUCAUCCAUAGCUGUUCUUCAUAGAUUUUCAAGUGCUAAGGCUUCGUUCCAGAGAACCCCAGGUUCGAUUUGUUCUUUAGGAACCAUCAAGACCUGCUUCAAUUUCAUCUUGGUUUUGAUCUUAUCCAUCUAUUAUUUCAUUGCUUUGUUUGUCUAAUUUUUUAUUUUUUAUCUUUCACUAUUUAUUUACAUGUAAUAACACAAAUACAUGUUUUUAGGGUUUCAAAAUUGCCAAAAGCCCUAACAAUUAAGGUGAUUUAUUACAGAGAGAACUUGCCAUUUAAAUCGGUGUAUCUUCUUUUCUUCAAUUUGUAAUCAGUGAAGUUUGAUUGCAGUCAUUGGUUAUAACAAAUUGAAAGACGUAUAGUGGAUUUCAAGGCAAGAUCUCAACAUUUCCACAGGAUCCUUCUCUUUCUUAUUUCUUCCUCUCUCUAUGUGUGUAUAUAUAUGUAUGUAUAUUUAGAUUUAUAUUAUGUUGUUUCUUCAAGUUUUCUACUGGUUAAUUCUUAAACAUGACUAAUUUGGUUUUAUAAAUAAAGAUGGAGGCAAAAGUCGUUUCAAGAGAAAUUGGUGUUUACGCUGAUUGAAGGACUUCCACAGUUGAAUAUUGUGGUCUGGAAUAGCGAUACUAAUGACUCCAUUGGCAGGUUCAUUUACAAAAAUCCUUUCUCAAGGCUACAAUGACUGCCCUGUCCACUUCAGACUAAAAAUGACUGGUAUAAUCUUCUUGAUUGAAGAUCAUUACUUCAUGAUUAGCUAAGGUUUGGUGAAUUUUAAAAUCGAGUAGUAAAUUGGAACAAUAAUGUUGGUUAAGUUUAAGGUUGAAUUUAUAGACAAUGCUUUUUUUUAUAAUCAAAUAAAAAUUUUGAUAGUGGUUCUUAUCACAUAUGACAAGUUUCAGGAAGUUGCAAUAGAAGGCUAUUACUGUUGGGAGUAAGCGCAUUAACUUUGAGCCUAUUCCCUGCAAAUUCCCUUUUUGCUGAAGAGAUGCAUGGAAGAAGCUACUUGGAAUGGCUGGAGCAAUGAUGGCUGACUAUGAGGAUGUUGAAACCAUUUGAUGUUAAAACUGCUCGCGAAUACUUUGUAGUAUUUUCUUAAAAAAUUGGAGAUUUAUGGUUUCAUUAUGAAAUUAAGAGCUUGGAGUUUUUAUAGAUUUUAUAGCGCUAUUGUGAGAAUUCUUCUUCUAAACUUGAUAUUGGUAUAGAACAUAUUAACUGUGUUCUUUUUACUCAGAAUUUGUCCCAUUUGAUUCAGAAAAGUUGCAUACACAAUCUCUCUCUCUUAUUUGUUCUUCAUACCUUGGACUUGCAAUAUAAAAUGUUUUAAUCACAUAAAUCAAGCAGAGUUCAAAACAAAAACAUAAUAAUAAAAAUAAAAAACCAAUUUUCAGCUAAAAAUUUAUUAGGGAUAGUAAAUACUGUCACGAAUAAUGUAUGUAUUAGUGACAGUCUAAAAAAUGUCCCAAAUAUAUAACUUGUUAGUGACGGUACGUUUCGUCCCAAAUAACAGUCCCUAAUAACUUUUAAUGACGGGGUUAUUUGGGACAGUAACUACCGUCACUAAAGACCCAUUUUUUGGUAACAGUCAUUUUUUACCGUCACUAAAGAUCUUUUAAGACGCUCUAACUAGUGACGGGCGAUUUUGAUUUUUAGUGAUGGUUUAAGGGCUUUUAGUGACGGAUUUGACUGUCACUAAAGACCUAUUUUCUUGUAAUGUGUGGUUUUGUCUAUUUCAGGUCAAUAAGGUUCAAACAGGAUAAAAAUGGUUUCUUACAACCGUUUUGGAGUCAAGCAUAGAGUUUCGAAAAGUAAAAAAAAAAAAAAAAAAUAUUAAAUAAAUUAAUUUUUGAAUCGAUCGAGAAUUUUUUGAUCAAUCGAAGAAAUCUUCAAUUGAUCGAAAAUACGCUAGUAGCGAACUGUUUUAUUCUCGCACAUCCGAACUCUACCUACCACAUAGUUGCGGGAUUAGAUAUUUUAAAGGCUUACUUUUUGACUUGUUCACUACUCGAAGGACCAUGUAUUUAAAGGGAGUUGAACCAUUUCGUAAUCUAUCUUUUGUCUUCAAUUUUAUUUCAUUGUAAUAGUUAGUUUCUCUCUCUAGAAAAGUUAAAGAUUAGGGUUAGAAGAAAAGAGAAGAGUGGAGUAAUAAGCGCCGAAUAUUGUAUAUUCAAGCGCCCUAAAUUGCAUUAGUAAAGUCCAUUGUAUGUUAAUUUAUGUAGAUUAUCUUCAUUUCUAUGUUUUUAUGCAUUUUCAGGUUCCUUGGCCCAAAAGGAGCAAAAUUAAGGUGUUGUGGAUUUUUUAUCAACAAUGUGCUCAAAAGCUGAAUUUCAGGCAGCAGUGGAACUCGAUUUUGAUUGCCACUUUUGACCCAGAAAUCUCGAGAUCUGGACUUCCAUUAUAAAAUGGCAUAUUUAGAGCUCUGAAUUAUCUU
Molecule: long non-coding RNA, 4006 nt
Organism: Cornus florida
Lineage: Eukaryota; Viridiplantae; Streptophyta; Magnoliopsida; Cornales; Cornaceae
Exons: 4
Source: RefSeq, a predicted model, not a curated record